This 164-nucleotide ribosomal RNA is filed under the name Cardamine asarifolia. RNAcentral's name for it is "5.8S ribosomal RNA". It matches the Rfam family "5.8S ribosomal RNA". From Rfam's summary of the family: 5.8S ribosomal RNA (5.8S rRNA) is a component of the large subunit of the eukaryotic ribosome. It is transcribed by RNA polymerase I as part of the 45S precursor that also contains 18S and 28S rRNA. Lineage: Eukaryota; Viridiplantae; Streptophyta; Magnoliopsida; Brassicales; Brassicaceae. The record is from RNAcentral.
AAAACGACUCUCGGCAACGGAUAUCUCGGCUCUCGCAUCGAUGAAGAACGUAGCGANAUGCGAUACUUGGUGUGAAUUGCAGAAUCCCGUGAACCAUCGAGUCUUUGAACGCAAGUUGCGCCCCAAGCCUUUUGGCCGAGGGCACGUCUGCCUGGGUGUCACAA